This is a long non-coding RNA of Lolium perenne, 1400 nucleotides long. RefSeq lists it as uncharacterized. The record is from RefSeq and is a predicted model, not a curated record. Lineage: Eukaryota; Viridiplantae; Streptophyta; Magnoliopsida; Poales; Poaceae.
AUCUUUCCAAACUACUCUCCACGGGAGACAUGGCAAUGAUGUCAUCCUCGCUGCUCGGGCUUCAUUCAUUUCUCUGUUCCUCUCCUCUCAUCUUCCUCGUUUCUCCAAUCGUCGGCGCGACAGCGACGAGUACCAGGCUUAGAGGCCUCGUCAACGGGAACUAGGUCCAGUAGCGGCGGCUCGCAGGCGAACAAGCAAGGCCAGGGCGGCCCGGCGGGUGCAGCGGCUCGCGAGGGAAGGGGCGGGUGUGGCUGGUGUGGCGGCUCGCAGGCGCGGCGGCGAUGGCUCGCAGGCGAGGCGGCCGUGCAAACCCGAGGCGGGUGUGGCGGCGAGAAUCAGGAAGGGAGGGCUGAAGUCAGGUAGCCGGUCCCUGUCCACUCGAAUUUGGCCUCCUGCGCACAACCAUAGCCUCUGCUCCGGGCGAUUUGCAUGUACAACUAUGCAGGUUUGGUUGUUUUGAUUGAUGCGAUGCCCCAGUGAUAUGGUACUUGCAAAAUGAUCUUCUAAUGUCUUUGUUCAAUCAAGCUUCUGCUGUUAAGAGUUAGACUGAGCUUCUUAUUGUAUUGGUACAUUAGGAUGUUAUUAAAUUGAGAAACAUAGAUGAAUCUGUCCUCUACAUGUUACUCUUGUUCUUUGCUGCUUGUUCACCAAUUGUUUGUUUCAUGCUUGGUGGCAACUUAUAUUGUUCUUUGGACUGUAUCAAGCUGAGGUAAUGGCAGAACUUAUACAAGAGAGAUGUACAUAUAUUAUCAUGACUUAAUGACUUAAUAGUUAUUAUUUUAGGUGAAUCAUGUCUUGCCUUCUCUGAUUCUGACCUGAAUUAAGAGUGAUAUAAGUUUGGCGAUUCUGAAUUCUGAUGAUAUGGAGUUGCAUUGAGGCUGUAAUUGCGCCAGAGGUGGAGACAUUGUUCUUAAAGGCGCGUGAGGCGGCAUAAGGAUGAACGGGCCUGAGGACGCGUAGGGUGUAAUCAUCUUGCCGUCUUUCUCAACUCCCAUGGCCGGUCGGCCUUGUUUUCAUCCUAAUUGGUUGUAAUCUAUGUCCAGUCAACCUAAGUGGUGGCUAGAGCAUUUGGAUAGUAGGACAUUGGCAUGGAGCUCAAAAUAUUGAUAUCUUUUCUUCCAUUAACUUUCAUAUCCAAAAUGUAAUUGUUGCUUAUGAAUUCUCAAGAUCAAUUCUUUUGUCAGUUUCUCGUGGGCGCCUCUAUUCUUAUAUGGAACAACCAGAUGCUGGGAAGUUAAAUGAUGAACUGUGCAGAGGUUUGAUACUAGAGGAGACUGACAUGGAUUUGGAUGGGGCAAAACACUUGCGGCUGCAAAUCAAGAAGAUCAACUUUCAUAUCUUCUUUGCUGCCUCUUCAGAACACAAGAUAAAGCCAUGAAAAUCUUGAUUUAGUAUCACAU